UCUCACCACUGCAUCAGUGCAGUGAUAAAUGUUGAAUAGAUCAUCCCAGAAUUCAAACCAUGAAAAAACAUGUCAAGAGUGAGGGUCACCUCAUCCACCUUCUCUCCUCUAAAAUAACCACUACAUGAGACGUGUUGAGUAAGAAAUUGCUGC
Long non-coding RNA from Prionailurus viverrinus (fishing cat), 153 nucleotides. RefSeq lists it as uncharacterized. The record is from RefSeq and is a predicted model, not a curated record. The transcript has 3 exons. NCBI's taxonomy places the organism in Eukaryota, Metazoa, Chordata, Mammalia, Carnivora, Felidae.